RNAcentral lists this ribosomal RNA (165 nucleotides) under Laccaria sp. RNAcentral's name for it is "partial large subunit ribosomal RNA". It matches the Rfam family "Eukaryotic large subunit ribosomal RNA", at positions 99 to 261 of the family's 3401-position model. The record is from RNAcentral. Lineage: Eukaryota; Fungi; Basidiomycota; Agaricomycetes; Agaricales; Hydnangiaceae.
CGGCAACAGCUCAGAUUUGAAAUCUGGCCUUUGGGCCCGAGUUGUAAUCUAGAGAAGCAUUAUCCGCGCUGGACCGUGUACAAGUCUCCUGGAAUGGAGCGUCAUAGAGGGUGAGAAUCCCGUCUUUGACACGGACUGCCAGGGCUUUUGUGAUGUGCUCUCAAA